RNAcentral lists this transfer RNA (54 nucleotides) under Pygoscelis adeliae (Adelie penguin). RNAcentral's name for it is "partial tRNA-Val". The record is from RNAcentral. Lineage: Eukaryota; Metazoa; Chordata; Aves; Sphenisciformes; Spheniscidae.
GCCCAACCACACACAACCAAACAACCAAAAAAAUUUACUUCACUACAAAUUAAG